UGGGGAAUAUUGCACAAUGGGCGCAAGCCUGAUGCAGCCAUGCCGCGUGUGUGAAGAAGGCCUUCGGGUUGUAAAGCACUUUCAGCGGGGAGGAAGGCGAUAAGGUUAAUAACCUUGUCGAUUGACGUUACCCGCAGAAGAAGCACCGGCUAACUCCGUGCCAGCAGCCGCGGUAAUACGGAGGGUGCAAGCGUUAAUCGGAAUUACUGGGCGUAAAGCGCACGCAGGCGGUCUGUCAAGUCGGAUGUGAAAUCCCCGGGCUCAACCUGGGAACUGCAUCUGAUACUGGCAAGCUUGAGUCUCGUAGAGGGGGGUAGAAUUCCAGGUGUAGCGGUGAAAUGCGUAGAGAUCUGGAGGAAUACCGGUGGCGAAGGCGGCCCCCUGGACGAAGACUGACGCUCAGGUGCGAAAGCGUGGGGAGCAAACAGG
RNAcentral lists this ribosomal RNA (429 nucleotides) under Chloroflexota bacterium. RNAcentral's name for it is "Chloroflexi bacterium partial 16S ribosomal RNA". It matches the Rfam family "Bacterial small subunit ribosomal RNA", at positions 355 to 776 of the family's 1533-position model. Lineage: Bacteria; Bacillati; Chloroflexota. The record is from RNAcentral.